ACUGAUCAUGGCUCAGGAUGAACGCUGGCGGCGUGCUAAUACAUGCAAGUCGAGCGAACUUUUGGGAGCUUGCUCCCAAAAGUUAGCGGCGGACGGGUGAGUAACACGUGGGUAACCUGCCUGUAAGACUGGGAUAACUUCGGGAAACCGGAGCUAAUACCGGAUAACAUCGAAGACCACAUGGUCUUCAAUUAAAAGGUGGCUUUUAGCUACCACUUACAGAUGGACCCGCGGCGCAUUAGCUAGUUGGUGAGGUAACGGCUCACCAAGGCGACGAUGCGUAGCCGACCUGAGAGGGUGAUCGGCCACACUGGGACUGAGACACGGCCCAGACUCCUACGGGAGGCAGCAGUAGGGAAUCUUCCGCAAUGGACGAAAGUCUGACGGAGCAACGCCGCGUGAGCGAAGAAGGCCUUCGGGUCGUAAAGCUCUGUUGUUAGGGAAGAACAAGUAUCGUUCGAAUAGGGCGGUACCUUGACGGUACCUAACCAGAAAGCCACGGCUAACUACGUGCCAGCAGCCGCGGUAAUACGUAGGUGGCAAGCGUUAUCCGGAAUUAUUGGGCGUAAAGCGCGCGCAGGCGGUCCUUUAAGUCUGAUGUGAAAGCCCACGGCUCAACCGUGGAGGGUCAUUGGAAACUGGGGGACUUGAGUGCAGAAGAGGAGAGCGGAAUUCCACGUGUAGCGGUGAAAUGCGUAGAGAUGUGGAGGAACACCAGUGGCGAAGGCGGCUCUCUGGUCUGUAACUGACGCUGAGGCGCGAAAGCGUGGGGAGCGAACAGGAUUAGAUACCCUGGUAGUCCACGCCGUAAACGAUGAGUGCUAAGUGUUAGAGGGUUUCCGCCCUUUAGUGCUGCAGCAAACGCAUUAA
RNAcentral lists this ribosomal RNA (870 nucleotides) under uncultured Bacillus sp. RNAcentral describes it as "bacterial SSU rRNA". It matches the Rfam family "Bacterial small subunit ribosomal RNA", at positions 12 to 863 of the family's 1533-position model. Lineage: Bacteria; Bacillati; Bacillota; Bacilli; Caryophanales; Bacillaceae. The record is from RNAcentral.